CGCCCUGAUACUGAUGUUUGCAGCAUAUUACUGCCUCAACAUCAGUUAUCGCUCAGAACUGGGAGCUACCCUGGAGUUCUUGCAGAGGUGCCUAUUCAAGAUCAAUCCGGACAAUGGGACUAGAGUGGAGAGGAAGGAAUACAAACAAAAACAGCACUCGAUAAAGAUAAAGAUUUCAUGAAGUUUGCUGACGACCCG
Trematomus bernacchii (emerald rockcod) is the source of this 198-nucleotide long non-coding RNA. RefSeq lists it as uncharacterized. The transcript is spliced from 3 exons. The record is from RefSeq and is a predicted model, not a curated record. NCBI's taxonomy places the organism in Eukaryota, Metazoa, Chordata, Actinopteri, Perciformes, Nototheniidae.